GUGUCAGCCGCCGCGGUAAUACAGAGGUCCCAAGCGUUGUUCGGAUUCACUGGGCGUAAAGGGUGCGUAGGUGGCCGGGUCAGUUCGAUGUGAAAUCCCCGAGCUCAACUCGGGAAUGGCAUUGAAUACUAUCCGGCUAGAGGAUCGGAGGGGAGACUGGAAUUCUCGGUGUAGCAGUGAAAUGCGUAGAUAUCGAGAGGAACACCAGUGGCGAAGGCGAGUCUCUGGACGAUUCCUGACGCUGAGGCACGAAAGCUAGGGGAGCAAACAGGAUUAGAAACCCCCGUAGUCC
This 292-nucleotide ribosomal RNA is filed under the name uncultured bacterium. Its description in RNAcentral is "partial 16S ribosomal RNA". It matches the Rfam family "Bacterial small subunit ribosomal RNA", at positions 505 to 796 of the family's 1533-position model. The record is from RNAcentral.